AUACUUACCUAAUGGGGAAGAUGCCAUGAUCACAACGGUGGUUUUCACAGAGCAAGGGUUAUCCAUUGCAUUCUGGAUGUGCUAACCCCUGCAAUUUCUCCAAAUGCAGGAAUUUUGACUGAGUAAUUUGUGGCAGUGGGGGACUGAGUUCACACUUUCCACUG
Molecule: small nuclear RNA, 164 nt
Filed under: Castor canadensis (American beaver)
Lineage: Eukaryota; Metazoa; Chordata; Mammalia; Rodentia; Castoridae
Description: U1 spliceosomal RNA (ENSCCNG00000009195.1)
Rfam family: U1 spliceosomal RNA
About the family: U1 is a small nuclear RNA (snRNA) component of the spliceosome (involved in pre-mRNA splicing). Its 5' end forms complementary base pairs with the 5' splice junction, thus defining the 5' donor site of an intron. There are significant differences in sequence and secondary structure between metazoan and yeast U1 snRNAs, the latter being much longer (568 nucleotides as compared to 164 nucleotides in human).
Source: Rfam by way of RNAcentral